UCCGGUGCAGAGGCGGCGGCUGCGGCACGGAAAAGGCUCUGUGACUGAAGCUCCAAAGGCCAGCAGGCUGGUGGGGACGUGACCGAAGCGAGGCUCUAGUUCCCUUUCGAUGGGCGCCAGUUGAGCCUCGCCUCUGGCUUCCCCAGGAUGCGCCGGCAGCUGGGGAGCGGCUGCGGGCGCGAGGCCUGAGGAUGAUCUUUCCUGUCGUCCGCUACGCGCUCCGGUGGCUGCGACGGCCCGAAGACCGUGCCUUUUCCCGCGCCGCCAUGGAGGUGGCCCUCCGAGGCGUGCGGAAAGUCCUCUGUGUGGCCGAAAAAAACGACGCGGCCAAGGGGAUCGCCGACCUGCUGUCAAACGGUCGCAUGAAGCGGAGAGAAGGACUUUCAAAAUUCAACAAGAUCUAUGAAUUUGAUUAUCACCUGUAUGGCCAGAAUGUUACCAUGGUAAUGACUUCGGUUUCUGGACAUUUACUGGCUCAUGAUUUCCAGAUGCAGUUUCGAAAAUGGUCAGUACAAUUCUCAAGGGAAGGACUUUCAGAUUAUAGCUGGAGUGCAGUGGCGCAGUCUUGACUCAUUGCAACCUCCGCCU
This 588-nucleotide small RNA is filed under the name Pongo abelii (Sumatran orangutan). RNAcentral's name for it is "processed transcript". Lineage: Eukaryota; Metazoa; Chordata; Mammalia; Primates; Hominidae. The record is from RNAcentral.